RNAcentral lists this transfer RNA (93 nucleotides) under Saccharolobus islandicus L.D.8.5. RNAcentral's name for it is "Sulfolobus islandicus L.D.8.5 tRNA-Glu". It matches the Rfam family "tRNA". Rfam says of the family: Transfer RNA (tRNA) molecules are approximately 80 nucleotides in length. Their secondary structure includes four short double-helical elements and three loops (D, anti-codon, and T loops). Further hydrogen bonds mediate the characteristic L-shaped molecular structure. tRNAs have two regions of fundamental functional importance: the anti-codon, which is responsible for specific mRNA codon recognition, and the 3' end, to which the tRNAs corresponding amino acid is attached (by aminoacyl-tRNA synthetases). tRNAs cope with the degeneracy of the genetic code in two manners: having more than one tRNA (with a specific anti-codon) for a particular amino acid; and 'wobble' base-pairing, i.e. permitting non-standard base-pairing at the 3rd anti-codon position. RNAcentral also lists the same sequence under 5 other names. The record is from RNAcentral. Lineage: Archaea; Thermoproteati; Thermoproteota; Thermoprotei; Sulfolobales; Sulfolobaceae.
GCCGCGGUGGUUUAGCCCGGUCAAGCGCAGGCACCGAAAGAAUGCGGGCCUUUCGAGCCCGUGACCCGGGUUCAAAUCCCGGCCGCGGCACUA